CCCUUCUGAUGCCUCUCAUCUUAGCCAUUAAUUUCAUCCUACGUCUAUGAACAAUUCAUCAAUCAAAACUACGUUGUUUAGAAGGUUAAAUUUGGACAGUUCAUUCCAACACUUAAUCCUAGAUGGCUUUUAAUUUAAAAUCACCGUCUUCCUCAUCACACUGGCAGAGAAGCUGAUCGCAAAAACAAAGUCUCAAGCGCGGGAAACUUCUGCACAGGAAUUUGAUCAUGGAAGCCAGCGGGCACAGCAAAGGAAGACGUGAGGAAGCUAGGGCGGUCGGACGGAAAGAUCUGCAUCUUUGUUGAACUUGUACUCUAUCGUUCGAAGUCAGAAAGCUGGGGAUGAAGCCGUCGCCAAAAGCCUUGAAGGAAAAGGAGCACAAUUUUCCAGGGAAAUCAAAUAUAACUUCUCAUAAGACUGUUUAUCCCUUGAUAAUUUCAAAUUCAGCACCAAUCGGUAGAUGAUCACUUGGAUGACUGAAGUUUGGCAGUCCACCAUCAACAUCAGGGGCACUGGAGUCAGGAAGCUCAAGAAAACUGAUUGGUUUAAUAGUGUGAGAAGGGCUAAAUAGUAUAUAAUCCAAUGUUCCUGUGAACCCAGGAGUGCAGUUGGUAAAUGAAGGCUCUCCUCUUGUACAGGCAUAGACACUUAAUAAGGGAAUGGAAAGGUCUUCUGAGCAUUCAGGCAUCGGUGUUGAUGAAGGGUAGCCAGAUACAAGGUAUUGAUAAACCUGCAAAAAGAAAGGGGAUUGAAUUAUUAGAAACAUGUUGAGAAAAUAUGCAGCUCCAAUUUUGAAAGUACAACAAUUGGGGGGGAAAAAUAGUGAUUUCCCUGCGAACAUCUUCCGUGUAAAAAAAUAAAAAGUCUUGGAGAAAAGACUUUCUUGCAGAAAUUCCAAUGAAAUUAUCAAUAGAAAUGGCAAAACAACUUCUCUCUAGCAGGAAUUCCGUGAGAAUUCCUCUGGUUUCUUAUCAAGCAUGUGGACUUACACCUGCCGGAUAAGUGAUAUUGCAUUACUUGAAGAUUAACUCGCACCACUGUUUAGCAUCAUGGAUCUAAAGACAAUCCCUUUCUGUCAUUUAUAUAAGUUGUUACAUCAUUCAUCAUUGCAGUUAAUAAUAUUUAUUCCUUUCUUUUUA
Long non-coding RNA from Prosopis cineraria, 1139 nucleotides. RefSeq lists it as uncharacterized. NCBI's taxonomy places the organism in Eukaryota, Viridiplantae, Streptophyta, Magnoliopsida, Fabales, Fabaceae. The transcript has 3 exons. The record is from RefSeq and is a predicted model, not a curated record.